This 1530-nucleotide ribosomal RNA is filed under the name Salmonella enterica subsp. enterica. RNAcentral describes it as "bacterial SSU rRNA". It matches the Rfam family "Bacterial small subunit ribosomal RNA". Lineage: Bacteria; Pseudomonadati; Pseudomonadota; Gammaproteobacteria; Enterobacterales; Enterobacteriaceae. The record is from RNAcentral.
AGAGUUUGAUCAUGGCUCAGAUUGAACGCUGGCGGCAGGCCUAACACAUGCAAGUCGAACGGUAACAGGAAGCAGCUUGCUGCUUUGCUGACGAGUGGCGGACGGGUGAGUAAUGUCUGGGAAACUGCCUGAUGGAGGGGGAUAACUACUGGAAACGGUGGCUAAUACCGCAUAAUGUCGCAAGACCAAAGAGGGGGACCUUCGGGCCUCUUGCCAUCAGAUGUGCCCAGAUGGGAUUAGCUUGUUGGUGAGGUAACGGCUCACCAAGGCGACGAUCCCUAGCUGGUCUGAGAGGAUGACCAGCCACACUGGAACUGAGACACGGUCCAGACUCCUACGGGAGGCAGCAGUGGGGAAUAUUGCACAAUGGGCGCAAGCCUGAUGCAGCCAUGCCGCGUGUAUGAAGAAGGCCUUCGGGUUGUAAAGUACUUUCAGCGGGGAGGAAGGUGUUGUGGUUAAUAACCACAGCAAUUGACGUUACCCGCAGAAGAAGCACCGGCUAACUCCGUGCCAGCAGCCGCGGUAAUACGGAGGGUGCAAGCGUUAAUCGGAAUUACUGGGCGUAAAGCGCACGCAGGCGGUCUGUCAAGUCGGAUGUGAAAUCCCCGGGCUCAACCUGGGAACUGCAUUCGAAACUGGCAGGCUUGAGUCUUGUAGAGGGGGGUAGAAUUCCAGGUGUAGCGGUGAAAUGCGUAGAGAUCUGGAGGAAUACCGGUGGCGAAGGCGGCCCCCUGGACAAAGACUGACGCUCAGGUGCGAAAGCGUGGGGAGCAAACAGGAUUAGAUACCCUGGUAGUCCACGCCGUAAACGAUGUCUACUUGGAGGUUGUGCCCUUGAGGCGUGGCUUCCGGAGCUAACGCGUUAAGUAGACCGCCUGGGGAGUACGGCCGCAAGGUUAAAACUCAAAUGAAUUGACGGGGGCCCGCACAAGCGGUGGAGCAUGUGGUUUAAUUCGAUGCAACGCGAAGAACCUUACCUGGUCUUGACAUCCACGGAAGUUUUCAGAGAUGAGAAUGUGCCUUCGGGAACCGUGAGACAGGUGCUGCAUGGCUGUCGUCAGCUCGUGUUGUGAAAUGUUGGGUUAAGUCCCGCAACGAGCGCAACCCUUAUCCUUUGUUGCCAGCGGUCCGGCCGGGAACUCAAAGGAGACUGCCAGUGAUAAACUGGAGGAAGGUGGGGAUGACGUCAAGUCAUCAUGGCCCUUACGACCAGGGCUACACACGUGCUACAAUGGCGCAUACAAAGAGAAGCGACCUCGCGAGAGCAAGCGGACCUCAUAAAGUGCGUCGUAGUCCGGAUUGGAGUCUGCAACUCGACUCCAUGAAGUCGGAAUCGCUAGUAAUCGUGGAUCAGAAUGCCACGGUGAAUACGUUCCCGGGCCUUGUACACACCGCCCGUCACACCAUGGGAGUGGGUUGCAAAAGAAGUAGGUAGCUUAACCUUCGGGAGGGCGCUUACCACUUUGUGAUUCAUGACUGGGGUGAAGUCGUAACAAGGUAACCGUAGGGGAACCUGCGGUUGGAUCACCU